AUACGGAGGAUCCGAGCGUUAUCCGGAUUUAUUGGGUUUAAAGGGUGCGCAGGCGGCCAUUUAAGUCAGCGGUUAAAUCGUGGGGCUCAACCCCAUCCUGCCGUUGAUACUGGGUGGCUUGAUUGCGGUCGAGGUUGGCGGAAUUCGUUGUGGAGCGGUGAAAUGCAUAGAUAUGACGAAGAACACCGAUUGCGUAGGCAGCUGACCAGACCGCAAAUGACGCUCAUGCACGAGAGUGCGGGGAUCGAACAGGAUUAGAUACCCUGGUAGUCCGCACAGUAAACGAUGAAUACUUGUUUUCGGCGAUAUAAUGUCGGAGGCAAAGCGAAAGCGAUAAGUAUUCCACCUGGGGAGUACGCCGGCAACGGUGAAACUCAAAGGAAUUGACGGGG
RNAcentral lists this ribosomal RNA (392 nucleotides) under uncultured bacterium. RNAcentral's name for it is "partial 16S ribosomal RNA". It matches the Rfam family "Bacterial small subunit ribosomal RNA", at positions 523 to 918 of the family's 1533-position model. The record is from RNAcentral.